UGAGAAGCUCAGGACAGCAGAGGAGACGUGGUGAGCUCCUGAUGAAGACUGUGUGUGUGUGUGUGUGUGUGUGCCCACUCAUGCUCUUCUGUCUCUAUAGCCAAGAUGUGACACCUGCUGAAUCACCAGUGAGAUUCACCUGAGUCAUUUAGCAAAGAUAAAUAGAGGCUUCAGCAGCAGCGAGACACACAGAACACUCAAGCUUCACUGACGCUUGUGUUUCACUCAAAGCACGCUUGAAAGUCAUUAGAAACAGCCAGAGCUGCUGAUGAGUCAUGAUGAUCUUCACUCAUUAGUGCUGUUCCCUACAUACUGAACCUGAGAAAGAGCGCAAGAGAAUAGCCAGAAUCCCUUCUGAGAACUCCAGCUGUUAUGAAUGAGACGGACACAAUCGGCAGCUGGAAUCACGCACUAAACUCCUACAACAACUGCCAAAGAUAAAGAUUCUGUCAUCAUUUGCUCCCCCUCAUGUUGGUCAAAACUGUAUGACUUUCAUUUUUCAGUGUCGCUGAGAAGAACAUUCAAGCUGCUCUGUUACAUAACACUUUAUAUUGAUAGUCCACAUCAGACAUUCUUAUAACUAUACUAAUAUAACUUAAUGUUACUUGCUAUGUAGUUGUAAAUAAAUGUAAGUUGCUAUGCAAUUGUAAAUAAAUGUUAGUUGACAUUUAGUUGAUAAUGAAUGUUAGUUGACAUGUAGUUGUAAAUUAAUGCUAGUUGCUAUGUAGCUGUAAAUUGUUAGUUCCCAUGCAGUUGUAAAUUAAUAUUAGUUGACAUGUAGUUGUAAAUUAAUGUUAGUUGACAUGUAGUUGUAAAUUAAUGUUAGUUGACAUGUAGUUGCAAAUUAAUUUUAGUUGCCAUGUAGUUGCAAAUUAAUGUUAGUUACCAUGCAGUUGUAAGUUAAUGUUAGUUGACGUAGUUGCAAAUUAAUGUUAGUUUCCAUGCAGUUGUAAAUUAAUGUUAGUUGACAUGUAGUUGUAAAUUAAUGUUAGUUGACAUGUAGUUGUAAGUUAAUGUUAGUUGACGUAGUUGUAAAUUAAUGUUAGCUGACAUAUAGUUGUAAAUUAAUGUUAGUUGACAUGUAGUUGUAAAUUAAUGUUAGUUGCCAUGCAGUUGUAAAUUAAUGUUAGUUGACAUAGUUGUAAAUUAAUGUUAGUUGACAUAGUUUUGUAAAUGAAUAAAUGUUAGUUAACAUUUAGUUGUAAAUGAAUGUU
Long non-coding RNA from Cyprinus carpio carpio, 1214 nucleotides. Lineage: Eukaryota; Metazoa; Chordata; Actinopteri; Cypriniformes; Cyprinidae. The record is from Ensembl.